RNAcentral lists this unclassified non-coding RNA (394 nucleotides) under Hevea brasiliensis (rubber tree). The record is from RNAcentral. Lineage: Eukaryota; Viridiplantae; Streptophyta; Magnoliopsida; Malpighiales; Euphorbiaceae.
AAGUCUGAUAUUAUCAUAUUAAAGAUUCCUCUGCCAUUAGUUUAAUUUCUUAUAAUAUAGAAUGCAUACUGUAGUUGCUCUGCUUACAACCUUAUCUAGGCAAACGCUUACCUGAGCUUGGGCUAAACAAAGUAAAUAAUAUUUUUAGACCCAGAAUUGGCUGCUUAAGCCCUUGUGUUUGCUUCAAAAGUCCACGGGAGAUGAAAUCCUGACUAUGCUUUCAGUGUUUGUGGACUGCAGUAUUAGUUCUUGCAAGCAGAAAGAAUUAUUGUCUAAAAUUUGAAAUUCCUAGUAUUAGUUCUUGCAAGCAGAAAGAAUUAUUGUCUAAAAUUUGAAAUUCCUAGUAUUAGUUCUUGCAAGCAGAAAGAAUUAUUGUCUAAAAUUUGAAAUUCCU